CAUGAACUGGAUUCAACGAAAAUCUGGAAUGUCAUCAUAUUUGAAAAAUAAGCGAUGAAAGGCCGCAACAAUUAAACACAAUACGCAGUGUUUGUUUUUAAUAACGCCCGUCGUGUGAUUGACAGCGGUUAAAAUGCAGCCAACCAGCGUCCGCCUGACUUACCUGAUUAAUCGUGUCAUGUCCAACUACAGUAAACUGUCGGGCGAGUCGUGAUUCGUGGAAAAUUCAUGUUGAAGGCUUGUAAGCGUGGUACGCCGAUCACGAUGGCAAUGAUGACUAUGGCAAUGUAAGCAACUUUUUACCAGUAAAAAAUUGGCAAAAGCUCAAAAGUCUCUCCUUCCACGUCCCACGUCAAACAUUGAAGUAUGUCACUUAACAAGUAAUUAAAGUGUUGACAGGUUUGAGUGGCUACCCACAUUAUGUUUA
Molecule: long non-coding RNA, 427 nt
Organism: Xenia sp. Carnegie-2017
Lineage: Eukaryota; Metazoa; Cnidaria; Anthozoa; Malacalcyonacea; Xeniidae
Exons: 3
Source: RefSeq, a predicted model, not a curated record